AGAGUUAAACAGUACGUGAAAUUGCUAAAAGGGAAACACUUGAGAUCAGUGAUGCCGCUGGGAAAUCAGCUACCCAGUCAUGGGUGGUGCACUUUCUCAGUGGCGAGUCAACAUCAGUUUCGGUUGGGUUAAACCGUGCAAGGAAGGUGACCAGCACUUCGGUGUUGGUGUUAUAGCCUUGUACCUUUGCCUGGUCGAGACUGAGGUCUGCAGUGUUAUUUGGGUAGCCAGUCGCCUCUUGAAACCCUGUUAUAGACAGCAUGCUGACUAUGACUUGGUCUAGGGAGCACGGUUGGGAUUCCACACCAACACUUAGGAUGUUGACGAAAUGGUUUCAAACGACC
RNAcentral lists this ribosomal RNA (344 nucleotides) under uncultured fungus. RNAcentral's name for it is "eukaryotic LSU rRNA". The record is from RNAcentral. Lineage: Eukaryota; Fungi.